AACGAACGCUGGCGGCAGGCUUAACACAUGCAAGUCGAGCGCCCCGCAAGGGGAGCGGCAGACGGGUGAGUACCGCGUGGGAACGUACCUUUUGGUUCGGAACAACUCCGGGAAACUGGAGCUAAUACCGGAUAAGCCCUAACGGGGAAAGAUUUAUCGCCGAAAGAUCGGCCCGCGUCUGAUUAGCUAGUUGGUGAGGUAACGGCUCACCAAGGCGACGAUCAGUAGCUGGUCUGAGAGGAUGAUCAGCCACACUGGGGGUGAGACACGGCCCAGACUCCUACGCGAGGCAGCAGAGGGGAACAUAGGAAAAUCGGCGCAAGGCUGAUCCAGCCAUGCCGCGUAAGCGAUGAAGGCCUUAGGGUUGUAAAGCUCUUUUGUCCGGGAAGAUAAUGACGGUACCGGAAGAAUAAGCCCCGGCUAACUUCGUG
Molecule: ribosomal RNA, 431 nt
Filed under: uncultured bacterium
Lineage: Bacteria
Description: partial 16S ribosomal RNA
Rfam family: Bacterial small subunit ribosomal RNA
Source: RNAcentral